Molecule: transfer RNA, 96 nt
Filed under: Streptomyces cacaoi
Lineage: Bacteria; Bacillati; Actinomycetota; Actinomycetes; Kitasatosporales; Streptomycetaceae
Description: tRNA-Ser
Source: RNAcentral
UGGCCGUCCUGGAGCGGGCGCUGCCCGCGGCGCUGGACGCGCUGGCCGUCGGCGGCCGGAUGGUCGUCCUCGCGUACCACUCGCUGGAGGACCGGC